Homo sapiens (human) is the source of this 286-nucleotide long non-coding RNA. The record is from Ensembl. NCBI's taxonomy places the organism in Eukaryota, Metazoa, Chordata, Mammalia, Primates, Hominidae.
ACAUGCAGGCUGCGCUGGGGGCCGUGACCUGGAGCCGUGGCCAGGGGGACAGCAUCCUGGAGCCAGAAAUGUCUGACAGCUCAUCCUCAUCUCAUUCUAUGGAUGAGAAAAAAGAGACCGCUGGGGUCGUGGGGACAGGGGUACGUUGCGUGCCUCUGACGCCUUAUCUGAAGACCAGAAUGGCCUCCUGUGACCUGAUGGUGUCUGAUGCCUAGGACAUCCAACUACCCCCAAGAAGUCUUUUCACCCAGAACAUAUAAUCCCCCAGCCUUGGCACCAUAACUUA